GACGAACGCUGGCGGCGUGCUUAACACAUGCAAGUCGAACGGAAAGGCCCUGCUUUUGUGGGGUGCUCGAGUGGCGAACGGGUGAGUAACACGUGAGUAACCUGCCCUUGACUUUGGGAUAACUUCAGGAAACUGGGGCUAAUACCGGAUAGGAGCUCCUGCUGCAUGGUGGGGGUUGGAAAGUUUCGGCGGUUGGGGAUGGACUCGCGGCUUAUCAGCUUGUUGGUGGGGUAGUGGCUUACCAAGGCUUUGACGGGUAGCCGGCCUGAGAGGGUGACCGGCCACAUUGGGACUGAGAUACGGCCCAGACUCCUACGGGAGGCAGCAGUGGGGGAUAUUGCACAAUGGGCGGAAGCCUGAUGCAGCAACGCCGCGUGCGGGAUGAAGGCCUUCGGGUUGUAAACCGCUUUCGCCUGUGACGAAGCGUGAGUGACGGUAAUGGGUAAAGAAGCACCGGCUAACUACGUG
This 468-nucleotide ribosomal RNA is filed under the name uncultured bacterium. RNAcentral's name for it is "partial 16S ribosomal RNA". It matches the Rfam family "Bacterial small subunit ribosomal RNA", at positions 28 to 507 of the family's 1533-position model. The record is from RNAcentral.